This 261-nucleotide ribosomal RNA is filed under the name uncultured bacterium. RNAcentral describes it as "partial 16S ribosomal RNA". It matches the Rfam family "Bacterial small subunit ribosomal RNA", at positions 793 to 1055 of the family's 1533-position model. The record is from RNAcentral.
GUCCACACCGUAAACGAUGGAUACUAAGUGUAGGAGAUAUUAAGUCUUCUGUGCCGUCGCAAACGCAGUAAGUAUCCCACCUGGGGAGUACGGCCGCAAGGUUGAAACUCAAAGGAAUUGACGGGGCCCGCACAAGCAGUGGAGUAUGUGGUUUAAUUCGAAGCAACGCGAAGAACCUUACCAGGGCUUGACAUAUACAGGAAUACUUAAGAGAUUAAGUAGCUCUUCGGAGUCCGUAUACAGGUGGUGCAUGGUUGUCGU